GUAAGUGAGAGGUUCGGGCAUGUGGCUCCCAGCUUGUGGCUGCGUCAGCUCGCUUCCCUUGGUCAAAAUAAAGGUGUCUGAGUUUCUCUGCCUCUGUUUGCUGUGAUGGGAGGAUGCUCACUGCUUCUUUUCUGCGUCAUCUUGGCCUCCCUGUUCCUCUGUGCCCGGAGCCCUUUUCUUUGGCUGCUCAUGGUGUCGGAUGCUCGUGGUUCGUGCUGUAGGAUACAGCCAAGCCCUCUUGGUGCAGGCUCUGGUGGAUGGCACCGAGUGCCAAAAACGAGCCCUGGGGAAACAUCUGAGGACAAAUUGCUAAUGAAGAGAGAGGAGUGCUUUUCUGGAGGGACCCGCCUGGGGAAAGGAAGGCCUUUGGGGAGCUAAAUAUUGUGUUUAAAACAUAAAGGCAGGAACAUGCUUCCCAGCGUGCAGACAAGUGGCAUGCAAGCUGCCUUGUUUUGUGGCACACCGGUAGGUGCAAAGGAAAUGCUGUGGCUGAUAGAAAGCAAAAGGGCUGGUGGAUGUGACAUGGAAAGCAGACGGGCUGUGAGGAGGUGUCUUGCUCUGACACACUGCACAUCUGAAUCCAGCUAGGUCUUCGUAUUGAUUUUUGUAAAAGCCCUUCCAAUUACUUUUGCAAUGAGCUCAUUCCUUCUGGCACAUCUCCUCUCCCUUGUUCAUUUAACACAGGCUUUGUCGCACCUCUCUUCAGCCCUCUGCGUGUGAGCUGGGAGCAAGCAGCUCUGUUGUUGUCCUCAGGGAAAACCAGGCACCUUUGGGGCAUCUCGUCUUGGCUGCUUUUCAGCGCUGCGUGACAGUGGGUUGAAUGGAGCCGGAGGUGUUUCUAAUAGAGCUGUCUGAAGUCAGCCAAAAUACAGCUGGCGUGCUCUGCACCGGCACAGCAAGGCUCGCUCAGAAGCUGCCUUUCCUUUUGUUUCGGUGUUUGGGUUCCAGGCAUGUUGUGAAGUGAUGCUGGAGGCUUUGCCUUGGCUGUUGGCUGGGCAGCCUGGUGGUCCAGGAGCGCAGAUUUGCUCCGGGCUGCAAAGUGCCUGCUUGCUGAAGCUUCUGGAAACAAAGAGCUGAGGAGCUCACAGACCUGUCCAGGCAAAACACCUCCUCUGUUUGCUCUAAUAAUACUGUUUUUCUCAAUUCUACACCCCCAAAACAAUGUGUCUGGGCCUGUUUUAAUCCACUGGAUCACUCGGAGGCUACAGCUGAGGUCUGGUAUCCGGAUGUUUCCCAAACCUGAUCCUGCCCAUGUCCCAUCCUGCGGGCUGCUGGAAGAGGAAUUUGCAGGCUCAGUGAAACUGCUCAGGUCUCCCCGCUGAGGCUGACUAUGUGUUCACCCUCCAGACUGCUUGGGAACGAAGGCAAAGAGAAGAACAUUGUCCCGCAAAGCCACGUGCCUCGCUUGCAGUCUGGGAGCUGAGGCACAGCUUCUGACUUUGCUCUGCAGCCCCUGUGUCCCAACCACAACCCAGGACACUGAUCAACCUGAAGCUGCUGGUUUUCUUGUGAUGGGCUCCUGUAUGCGUUCCAAAUACUGUUGAGGCUGCUCUGUGGGUAUUUUUAGUGUGCAUCAGGUGCCAACGAGGAAAACAAAAGCCUCUUCUUCAUGAGCCCACGUCUGCAGUUAUUUCCAGUGCCUGUGUCCUCGUGUGCAUCCUGCAGCCCUUGGGGCUCCGACAGCAGGCACUGAGAAAAACCAAGCUUGGGAAAAAUCUAAAUACUUCCCAAGGAAGAACUUCAGGAAAUGCCCAUCAAACAGCUGAGCAGGGGAUUCCUGAGCAGGUUUCCUGUGCUUCUUUGAAAUGCUGAUAAAAAGCUUCGUGAGAUACCUGCACAGAGGAAUUUCCCAAACAGGGCACUGAAAGCUUCACACCACAAUGUAUGCGUGAUACUGGAGCUCCCACACGUGCUGGGUGUUUGGAUAGCGUUCUUAGACCUGCUGAAACCUGCGUAAUGUAGUAAUUAUGGGCUGCUAGCUGUUGAAAGGACUCGUGAAGCUACUCCAAGGGGCAGCUGUCACCUGGGUCCUUCGGAUCCCAGCUCAUGUUUGCCUCUGCACGUCCUCAGCAUGCAAACAGGGCUGAGGGAAAGCACCCUGCCUCCUCCUGUCCCUGGGUGCAGGAAUGGCAAUGGCCGGCAGCACUGACAUCUGCCUCCUGGUGUGACCCCAAGGAUGUGACUUUGGGACAGAACCAACAUGCAGCCAGGCACCCCUGAAAUGAAGCAGGGUUAUGGGAUCCAGCUCUGGCAUUAGUGUGCAGUCCUGAACAUCUGCACCAACAUUUGUGUGCCCAGCCAUCAUUGCAGCACCUGUACCCAUCUGAGCUGGCGCUGGCUGCAGCAUGAAGCCAGCAAUUUACAAAGUCCUGCUUUUGGGUCCUUCCUUCCCCACAUCUCUGCUGGGAACUGCCGGUGCCCCCAUCCCACCACGGGAGCCCUGGGCUGGGAACACAGCAGUGCCUGCUGCUGGGGAGGUAACACUGCGAACCAGCCUGCGCAUCUUGCAGCCUCUACAAUAUUGCCAAACCUUGUAACACAGAACCAGAUCCCUUUCCAAACCAGCCCCUUGCAGCCCUUCCUUCCUCUCCAAACUGCACCAAUCUCCAGCCAGAGCGAGCCUUGGGUCUGCCCUGCUUCACCCACCUCGUCGCUUCUGUCCCUGCCUCGCAUCUCCCCGCAGCGGUGUUCCGACGCCUCGCCUCUCUCCCGCUGGCUGAGAGCAGCGUGGAUUUCCUUCCAGCGUGACGGUUGGGGUCACUCUUUCACAACGAGCGCUUUCCUCCCGGUACGAUCAGCUCAGCGUCGCGUCCCGCUGACGCCCAACCAGGAUUUCAAGCUUUUGGGACUGCCUUCCCUGGAAAAAAUUAGCGACAUGUUUGAUUUUAAAUAGCGGAAGCGUGCGGGAAUAAGCUUUUCUGUGUGGGUUCGGAAGUUUGCUAAAACACUCAAUGAGCUGC
This 2960-nucleotide long non-coding RNA is filed under the name Gallus gallus (chicken). Its description in RNAcentral is "lncRNA (ENSGALG00010025117.1)". The record is from RNAcentral. Lineage: Eukaryota; Metazoa; Chordata; Aves; Galliformes; Phasianidae.